UAGCGGCUAGUCUAACACAAGACCACUAAUUUCGACUUAGUAAAUCCCAGCCCACCCUGGGGCCAUUAA
Molecule: transfer RNA, 69 nt
Filed under: Aprasia parapulchella
Lineage: Eukaryota; Metazoa; Chordata; Lepidosauria; Squamata; Pygopodidae
Description: tRNA-Arg
Source: RNAcentral